AGGGCGGUGGCUCAAUUGGUAGAGCAGCGGUCUCCAACACCGCAGGUUGCAGGUUCGAGUCCUGUCCGCCCUGC
RNAcentral lists this transfer RNA (74 nucleotides) under Microbacteriaceae bacterium. RNAcentral describes it as "tRNA-Trp". It matches the Rfam family "tRNA". Rfam says of the family: Transfer RNA (tRNA) molecules are approximately 80 nucleotides in length. Their secondary structure includes four short double-helical elements and three loops (D, anti-codon, and T loops). Further hydrogen bonds mediate the characteristic L-shaped molecular structure. tRNAs have two regions of fundamental functional importance: the anti-codon, which is responsible for specific mRNA codon recognition, and the 3' end, to which the tRNAs corresponding amino acid is attached (by aminoacyl-tRNA synthetases). tRNAs cope with the degeneracy of the genetic code in two manners: having more than one tRNA (with a specific anti-codon) for a particular amino acid; and 'wobble' base-pairing, i.e. permitting non-standard base-pairing at the 3rd anti-codon position. RNAcentral also lists the same sequence under 2 other names. The record is from RNAcentral. Lineage: Bacteria; Bacillati; Actinomycetota; Actinomycetes; Micrococcales; Microbacteriaceae.